GACGAACGCUGGCGGCGUGCUUAACACACGCAAGUCGAACGGAAAGGCCCUUCGGGGUACUCGAGUGGCGAACGGGUGAGUAACACGUGGGUGAUCUGCCCUGCACUUUGGGAUAAGCCUGGGAAACUGGGUCUAAUACCGAAUAGGACCACGCGCUUCAUGGUGUGUGGUGGAAAGCUUUUGCGGUGUGGGAUGGGCCCGCGGCCUAUCAGCUUGUUGGUGGGGUAAUGGCCUACCAAGGCGACGACGGGUAGCCGGCCUGAGAGGGUGACCGGCCACACUGGGACUGAGAUACGGCCCAGACUCCUACGGGAGGCAGCAGUGGGGAAUAUUGCACAAUGGGCGCAAGCCUGAUGCAGCGACGCCGCGUGAGGGAUGACGGCCUUCGGGUUGUAAACCUCUUUCAAUAGGGACGAAGCGCAAGUGACGGUACCUAUAGAAGAAGCACCGGCCAACUACGUG
RNAcentral lists this ribosomal RNA (462 nucleotides) under uncultured bacterium. Its description in RNAcentral is "partial 16S ribosomal RNA". It matches the Rfam family "Bacterial small subunit ribosomal RNA", at positions 28 to 507 of the family's 1533-position model. The record is from RNAcentral.